GACGAACGCUGGCGGCGUGCUUAAUACAUGCGAGUCGAACGGAAAGGCCCUGCUUUUGUGGGGUGCUCGAGUGGCGCACGGGUGAGUAACACGUGAGUAACCUGCCCUUGACUUUGGGAUAACUUCAGGAAACUGGGGCUAAUACCGGAUAGGAGCUCCUGCUGCAUGGUGGGGGUUGGAAAGUUUCGGCGGUUGGGGAUGGACUCGCGGCUUAUCAGCUUGUUGGUGGGGUAGUGGCUUACCAAGGCUUUGACGGGUAGCCGGCCUGAGAGGGUGACCGGCCACAUUGGGACUGAGAUACGGCCCAGACUCCUACGGGAGGCAGCAGUGGGGAAUAUUGCACAAUGGGCGGAAGCCUGAGGCAGCAACGCCGCGUGCGGGAUGACGGCCUUCGGGUUGUAAACCGCUUUCGCCUGUGACGAAGCGUGAGUGACGGUAAUGGGUAAAGAAGCACCGGCUAACUACGUG
This 468-nucleotide ribosomal RNA is filed under the name uncultured bacterium. RNAcentral's name for it is "partial 16S ribosomal RNA". It matches the Rfam family "Bacterial small subunit ribosomal RNA", at positions 28 to 507 of the family's 1533-position model. The record is from RNAcentral.